GUGUGUGUGUGUGUGUGUGUGUGCUUGCCUGAAGUGUGUAUGGAUGGAUGGAUGUUAACUCUGAAGAGACGUGAGCCACAUAAUGUUUACUGUAGACGUAUUGUCCCCCUUACUGUGAGCACAAAGAUGGCUGAAAUGUAAAUGUAUGUACCUUACUAUAAAAUAUGGCAAGUUCUGA
Long non-coding RNA from Sphaeramia orbicularis (orbiculate cardinalfish), 178 nucleotides. RefSeq lists it as uncharacterized. The record is from RefSeq and is a predicted model, not a curated record. NCBI's taxonomy places the organism in Eukaryota, Metazoa, Chordata, Actinopteri, Kurtiformes, Apogonidae. The transcript is spliced from 2 exons.